UUACAGUUGGAUAUCAUUGAAAUUCUAUUUAUAAUGAAAAUGAAAGAAAAAUAAAAAGUAUUUUUUUUAGGAUAUAUUUAUUAAAUACAACUUUUGAUUUAAAUGUUGAAACGUAUAGCUAGAUAGAUUAAUAUUAUGGUACUUAUAUGGCAGUGAUAUGCUAACUGGACGUUCUCUAAGUCUAUGGCUAUAUAAAACUCAAUAAUUGAUCACAAUACAUUUGGAAAAAGUUUCGGUGUGGCAUCAACACAGGAACCAGGAUCUUCAUCAGUUAUCAUCGCUGGAUACGAGACACUCGCUAAGCAAAACAUUGUGCAGAUCAUCCAUUUCGAUCCAGUCACGUCUCUCAUUGCGUAUGGAGACAUUGCGAAUGCAGCCCUUGAAGUUGUCUCGCGUCAACAAACAACCGCUGGGUGCAGUAUCUGUACAAAAAAUAAAUUUGAGGGGCGAACGUGUUUGCACUUUGCCAGCAUUGCGUUGAUUUGACAUGCUGAUUGUCGCAGGCAACUGAUCGAUUCGCAAAGCAAGUUGCUCGC
Molecule: long non-coding RNA, 536 nt
Organism: Drosophila nasuta
Lineage: Eukaryota; Metazoa; Arthropoda; Insecta; Diptera; Drosophilidae
Exons: 3
Source: RefSeq, a predicted model, not a curated record